AAAAACAAUAGUUGAAAUCAAAAAUAAAGUUAGUUGAACGUACGUUCCUUACGUGUCCUAAAUUUUCUGCGGCAUUUGAAAAUGUCCUGCAACAAAUUGGUUUGCCCUCAUACAACAAAGCCACUAACUAGCUAGUAUCGAAAACAAUUCCCCCCAACAUAAUUUGACAUAAUUUAUGCAACGCUCGGCCAGUUAAUCAAAUUGCAGAGUGCUGGAAAAAUUCCUUUGGAGGCAUGCAUCCAUGCAGCGGUCGAGGGAAAUUGCAAUCAAAUCAGCUGCCGGUCCGCAGGCCAAUCUAAUUCAAUUUUCAAAGCAAAUUCGUGUCAUGCCCCGCACACAGCAGCGAUAUAAACACAAAUAGAACGUCACGCGCUGCAAAGCCGAAAUUAAAUUCCCCCAGAGUGAAAGGAAGAAAGAAAAUGCCAGGAAUAGACACCAUGGCACAUGUGGCCAAAAAAGCGUUCGCUCCUGUUGGUCAAUUUUGGCUUAGACAACGGAAGUAGAGGAACAGGCGACCAGCAGCAGGUGCCAAAACUGACGCCUGACGGAAAAAUUGUUGGUCAAAACACUCGCACAAAGGCGGCCAGCUAUAAAAUGGCAAAAAAAAAACACGUUCGAAAUAUAUGUUGGGCUUAUUGCGACUAAAACAUACCUGGUACUGUCUAUAUUCCUAUGAUCCUAUCUUUCACGUACUCGAUCAUUAUUACAUCAUACUGAGGAACUGGCAAAAUU
Drosophila melanogaster (fruit fly) is the source of this 732-nucleotide non-coding RNA. The record is from Ensembl. Lineage: Eukaryota; Metazoa; Arthropoda; Insecta; Diptera; Drosophilidae.